CAAUAGCGUAUAUUAAAGUUGUUGCAGUUAAAAAGCUCGUAGUUGAAUUUUUGCUUGCCGCCGAUGUCGGAACUUCCGUACGUUCGGCGGCGUGCAUCCUUGGGUGGAACCUGUGUGGCAUUAGGUUGUCGUGCAGGGGAUGCUCAUCGUUUACUGUGAAAAAAUUAGAGUGUUCAAAGCAGGCUUACGCCGUUGAAUAUAUUAGCAUGGAAUAAUAAGAUAGGACCUUGGUACUAUUUUGUUGGUUUGCGCACCGAGGUAAUGAUUAACAGGGACAGUUGGGGGUAUUCGUAUUCCAUUGUCAGAGGUGAAAUUCUUGGAUUUUUGGAAGACGAACUACUGCGAAAGCAUUUGCCAAGGAUGUUUUCAUUAA
This 373-nucleotide ribosomal RNA is filed under the name uncultured eukaryote. RNAcentral's name for it is "partial 18S ribosomal RNA". It matches the Rfam family "Eukaryotic small subunit ribosomal RNA", at positions 592 to 976 of the family's 1831-position model. The record is from RNAcentral.